RNAcentral lists this ribosomal RNA (274 nucleotides) under uncultured bacterium. Its description in RNAcentral is "partial 16S ribosomal RNA". It matches the Rfam family "Bacterial small subunit ribosomal RNA", at positions 524 to 794 of the family's 1533-position model. The record is from RNAcentral.
GACGAACCCGUCCAAACGUUAUUCGGAAUCACUGGGCUUAAAGGGCGCGUAGGCGGCCGAGCGGGUCGUGGGUGAAAUCCCCCAGCUUAACUGGGAACGUGCUUACGAUACCACUGCGGCUCGAGGAAGGAAGGGGCGAAUUGGAACUGUCGGUGGAGCGGUGAAAUGCGUUGAUAUCGACAGGAACGCCUGUGGCGAAAGCGAAUUGCUGGUCCUUUUCUGACGCUGAGGCGCGAAAGCCAGGGGAGCAAACGGGAUUAGAAACCCCAGUAGU